CCUACGGGUGGCAGCAGUGAGGAAUAUUGGUCAAUGGACGAGAGUCUGAACCAGCCAAGUAGCGUGAAGGAUGACUGCCCUAUGGGUUGUAAACUUCUUUUAUAUGGGAAUAAAACGUUCCACGUGUGGGAUUUUGUAUGUACCAUAUGAAUAAGGAUCGGCUAACUCCGUGCCAGCAGCCGCGGUAAUACGGAGGAUCCGAGCGUUAUCCGGAUUUAUUGGGUUUAAAGGGAGCGUAGGUGGAUUGUUAAGUCAGUUGUGAAAGUUUGCGGAUCAACCGUAAAAUUGCAGUUGAAACUGGCAGUCUUGAGUACAGUAGAGGUGGGCGGAAUUCGUGGUGUAGCGGUGAAAUGCUUAGAUAUCACGAAGAACUCCGAUUGCGAAGGCAGUUCACUGGACUGCAACUGACACUGAGGCUCGAAAGUGUGGGUAUCAAACAGGAUUAGAUACCCUAGUAGUC
This 460-nucleotide ribosomal RNA is filed under the name uncultured bacterium. RNAcentral's name for it is "partial 16S ribosomal RNA". It matches the Rfam family "Bacterial small subunit ribosomal RNA", at positions 338 to 795 of the family's 1533-position model. The record is from RNAcentral.